Molecule: ribosomal RNA, 1499 nt
Filed under: uncultured bacterium
Lineage: Bacteria
Description: bacterial SSU rRNA
Rfam family: Bacterial small subunit ribosomal RNA
Source: RNAcentral
UAGAGUUUGAUCCUGGCUCAGGAUGAACGCUAGCGGCUGUGCCUAAUGCAUGCAAGUCGAACGGGAUUCCCUGACUUCGGUUGGGGAUGAGAGUGGCGAACGGGUGAGUAACACGUAGGUGACCUGCCCUCGGGAGGGGGACAACCAGUGGAAACGCUGGCUAAUACCCCGGAUGUCAAUCUAGUUAGAGAGGAUUGACUAAAGCUCCGGCGCCCGAGGAGGGGCCUGCGACCCAUCAGCUAGUUGGUAGGGUAAAAGCCUACCAAGGCCGAGACGGGUAGGGGGCGUGAGAGCGUGGCCCCCCACACUGGUACUGACACACGGACCAGAUACCUACGGGUAGCAGCAGCAAGGAAUAUUGCGCAAUGGGCGAAAGCCUGACGCAGCAACGCCGCGUGGAGGAUGAAGGCCUUCGGGUUGUAAACUCCUUUUCUGGGGGAAGAGAAAGGACGGUACCCCAGGAAUAAGGCCCGGCUAACUACGUGCCAGCAGCCGCGGUAAAACGUAGGGGUCAAGCGUUAUCCGGAAUUACUGGGCGUAAAGGGCGCGUAGGCGGUUGCCAAAGUUGGACGUGAAAGCUCCUGGCUCAACUGGGAGAGGCCGUUCAAAACUAGGCGACUAGAGGAUGGUAGAGGCGAGUGGAAUUCCCGGUGUAGUGGUGAAAUGCGUAAUUUCGGGAGGAACACCAGUGGGCGAAGGCGGCUCGCUGGGCCCACACCCUGACGCUAGGCGCGAAAGCCAGGGGAGAGAACCGGGAUUUAGAACCCCGGUAUUCCUGCCGUAACGAUGUCAAACUAAGUGUAGAGAGCCGAACAGGCAGCUGUGCUGAAGCAAACGCGAUAAGUUGACCGCCUGGGGAGUACGGCCGCAAGGCUAAAACUCAAAGGAAUUGACGGGGGCCCGCACAAGCAGCGGAGCGUGUGGUUUAAUUCGAGGCUACGCGAAGAACCUUACCAGGGUUUGACAUGUACGUGGUAGGUAUUGGAAACAAUGCUGACCCUUCGGGGAGCGUACACAGGUGCUGCAUGGCUGUCGUCAGCUCGUGCCGUGAGGUGUUAGGUUAAGCCCUGUAACGAGCGCAACCCUCGUCGUUAGUUACAAGUGUCUAACGAGACUGCCGGUGAUAAGCCGGAGGAAGGUGGGGAUGACGUCAAGUCAGCAUGGCCUAUAUAUCCUGGGCUACACACACGCUACAAUGGCCGGUACAAUGGGCAGCGAACUCGCGAGACGGAGCCAAUCCUGAAAAGCCGGUCUCAGUUCGGAUUGCAGGCUGCAACUCGCCUGCAUGAAGUCGGAGUUGCUAGUAAACGCGCGUCAGCCACAGUGCGUUGAAUACGUUCCCGGGCCUUGUACACACCGCCCGUCACGUCAUGGAAGUUGGCAACGCCUGAAGUCGGUGGGCUAACCCUAACGGGAGGCAGCCGCCUAAGGCGGGGUCGGUAACUGGGACGAAGUCGUAACAAGGUAGCUGUAGCGGAAGCUGCGGCUGGAUCACCUCC